GGGGUUGUGGCUCGGUGGUAGAGCACUUUCCUGGCAGGUAUGAGGUGCUGGGUUCAAUUCUCAGCACCA
RNAcentral lists this transfer RNA (69 nucleotides) under Ictidomys tridecemlineatus (thirteen-lined ground squirrel). Its description in RNAcentral is "Spermophilus tridecemlineatus (thirteen-lined ground squirrel) tRNA". It matches the Rfam family "tRNA". From Rfam's summary of the family: Transfer RNA (tRNA) molecules are approximately 80 nucleotides in length. Their secondary structure includes four short double-helical elements and three loops (D, anti-codon, and T loops). Further hydrogen bonds mediate the characteristic L-shaped molecular structure. tRNAs have two regions of fundamental functional importance: the anti-codon, which is responsible for specific mRNA codon recognition, and the 3' end, to which the tRNAs corresponding amino acid is attached (by aminoacyl-tRNA synthetases). tRNAs cope with the degeneracy of the genetic code in two manners: having more than one tRNA (with a specific anti-codon) for a particular amino acid; and 'wobble' base-pairing, i.e. permitting non-standard base-pairing at the 3rd anti-codon position. Lineage: Eukaryota; Metazoa; Chordata; Mammalia; Rodentia; Sciuridae. The record is from Rfam by way of RNAcentral.